AGACCCGAAACCCGGUGAUCUAGCCAUGGGCAGGUUGAAGGUUGGGUAACACUAACUGGAGGACCGAACCGACUAAUGUUGAAAAAUUAGCGGAUGACCUGUGGCUGGGGGUGAAAGGCCAAUCAAACCGGGAGAUAGCUGGUUCUCCCCGAAAGCUAUUUAGGUAGCGCCUCGUGAAUUCAUCUCCGGGGGUAGAGCACUGUUUCGGCUAGGGGGCCAUCCCGGCUUACCAACCCGAUGCAAACUGCGAAUACCGGAGAAUGUUAUCACGGGAGACACACGGCGGGUGCUAACGUCCGUCGUGAAGAGGGAAACAACCCAGACCGCCAGCUAAGGUCCCAAAGUCAUGGUUAAGUGGGAAACGAUGUGGGAAGGCCCAGACAGCCAGGAUGUUGGCUUAGAAGCAGCCAUCAUUUAAAGAAAGCGUAAUAGCUCACUGGUCGAGUCGGCCUGCGCGGAAGAUGUAACGGGGCUAAACCAUGCACCGAAGCUGCGGCAGCGAACGUAUCACUU
Molecule: ribosomal RNA, 513 nt
Filed under: Salmonella enterica subsp. enterica serovar Infantis
Lineage: Bacteria; Pseudomonadati; Pseudomonadota; Gammaproteobacteria; Enterobacterales; Enterobacteriaceae
Also listed under: 4 other names
Description: partial 23S ribosomal RNA
Rfam family: Bacterial large subunit ribosomal RNA
Source: RNAcentral